GUAAGGGAUAUUGGGCAAUGGGCGAAAGCCUGACCCAGCAACGCCGCGUGGAGGAUGACGGCCUUCGGGUUGUAAACUCCUUUUGUCGGGGACGAGACAAGGACGGUACCCGGCGAAGAAGUCACGGCUAACUACGUGCCAGCAGCCGCGGUAAAACGUAGGUGGCGAGCGUUAUCCGGAUUUACUGGGCGUAAAGCGUGUGCAGGCGGACGGGCAAGUGGUGUAUGAAAGCUCCAGGCUUAACCUGGAGAGGUUAUGCCAGACUGCACGUCUUGAGGCAGAGAGAGGGACAUGGAAUUCCGGGUGUAGUGGUGAAAUGCGUAGAGAUCCGGAGGAACUCCAGAGGCGAAGGCGGUGUCCUGGCUCUGACCUGACGCUCAGACACGAAAGCAUGGGGAGCGAACGGGAUUAGAAACCCCAGUAGUCC
RNAcentral lists this ribosomal RNA (427 nucleotides) under uncultured bacterium. RNAcentral describes it as "bacterial SSU rRNA". It matches the Rfam family "Bacterial small subunit ribosomal RNA", at positions 354 to 796 of the family's 1533-position model. The record is from RNAcentral.